GAUGAACGCUGGCUACAGGCUUAACACAUGCAAGUCGAGGGGAAACGCCGGGGAAGCUUGCUUCCCCGGGCGUCGACCGGCGCACGGGUGAGUAACGCGUAUCCAACCUGCCUCUGACUGAGGGAUAACCCGUCGAAAGUCGGCCUAAUACCUCAUGGUAUCGUCUGCGGGCAUCCAACGACAAUUAAAGAUUUCAUCGGUCAGGGAUGGGGAUGCGUCUGAUUAGCUUGUUGGCGGGGUAACGGCCCACCAAGGCUACGAUCAGUAGGGGUUCUGAGAGGAAGGUCCCCCACAUUGGAACUGAGACACGGUCCAAACUCCUACGGGAGGCAGCAGUGAGGAAUAUUGGUCAAUGGGCGAGAGCCUGAACCAGCCAAGUAGCGUGCAGGAAGACGGCCCUAUGGGUUGUAAACUGCUUUUAGGCGGGGAUAAAGUGAGGGACGUGUCCCUCAUUGCAGGUACCGCAUGAAUAAGGACCGGCUAAUUCCGUG
This 491-nucleotide ribosomal RNA is filed under the name uncultured bacterium. Its description in RNAcentral is "partial 16S ribosomal RNA". It matches the Rfam family "Bacterial small subunit ribosomal RNA", at positions 28 to 507 of the family's 1533-position model. The record is from RNAcentral.